GCUAUACAGCUAGCUUAAUUACUAAAGUUUACUACAACAACAUUAUAAACCUUUAUACAACUACAAGUAACCAAAAUUAAAACAUUUUACCGCCCUAGUAUGUGAGACAGAAAAGGCACAUCAUCUUAAAGCUACAGAAAAAGUACCGCAAGGGAAUGCUGAAAGAGAAAUGAAACAAAUCAUUAAAGCCUAACAAAGCAGAGACCGACCCUCGUACCUUUUGCAUCAUGAUUUAGCCAGUCAUCCUGAGCAAAGUGUACUUUAGUUCAAAACCCCGAAACUAAGUGAGCUACCCCGAGACAGCCUAUUAUUUAGGGCCAACCCGUCUCUGUGGCAAAAGAGUGGGAAGAUCUCCGGGUAGAGGUGACAAACCUACCGAACUUAGUUAUAGCUGGUUGCCUAAGAAAUGGAUAGAAGUUCAGCCUCGCACUCCUUAUUUCACAGCCUAAUAUAAAUUAUAUGAACAAAAGAAAUAUGCGAGAGUUAUUCAAAGGGGGUACAGCCCCUUUGAAACAGGACACAACCUCACCAGGAGGUUAAAGAUUAUAUUAAACAAGAUAUAUCGCCUUAAUGGGCCUAAAAGCAGCCAUUUACGUAGAAAGCGUUAAAGCUCUAGCGAAACAUAAAUCUAUUAUCCAAAUAUUAUUUCUAAAACCCCUAACUAUAUUAGGCCACUCCAUGCUUACAUGGAAGAAAUACUGCUAAAAUGAGUAAUAAGAAAGAAUUCCUUUCUCCCCGCCCAUGUGUACACUAGAUCGGACUAACCACUAGUAAUUACCGAACCCAAUCAAAGAGGGGACUGUGAUAAUUAUAAAUAGCAAGAAACACUCACAUAACCCUAUCGUUAACCCCACACAGGAGGGCAAUUACGGGAAAGACCAAAAGAAGGGGAAGGAACUCGGCAAACAUAAGCCUCGCCUGUUUACCAAAAACAUCGCCUCCUGCAAAACACUACGUAUAGGAGGUCUUGCCUGCCCAGUGACAAGUUAAACGGCCGCGGUAUUUUGACCGUGCGAAGGUAGCGCAAUCACUUGUCUUUUAAAUGAAGACCUGUAUGAAUGGUGGAACGAGGGCUUAACUGUCUCCCCCUUCAAGUCAAUGAAAUUGAUCUGCCCGUGCAGAAGCGGACAUACUUAUACAAGACGAGAAGACCCUUUGGAGCUUAAGAUGUAAAAUCAACUAUGUCAAGAAUUAAUAAAUCAAACUAAAUAGUAACUGAUUCCUAUCUUCGGUUGGGGCGACCACGGGAGAAAAUAAAGCUCCCACGCGGACCAUGGGCCAACCCCCAAAAUUAAGAGAGACAUCUCUAAAUCGCAGAAUAUCUGACCAUAAAGAUCCGGCUAUACGCCGAUCAACGAACCAAGUUACCCCUAGGGAUAACAGCGCAAUCCCCUUCCAGAGUCCAUAUCGACAAGGGGGUUUACGACCUCGAUGUUGGAUCAGGACAUCCUAAUGGUGCAGCCGCUAUUAAGGGUUCGUUUGUUCAACGAUUAAAGUCCUACGUGAUCUGAGUUCAGACCGGAGCAAUCCAGGUCAGUUUCUAUCUGUAACGUCACUUUUCCUAGUACGAAAGGACCGGAAUAAAGGGGGCCCAUAUUGCAAAUACGCCCCACCCCUAUUUAAUGAAAUCAACUAAAUUAAAUAAAGGGAGGACACAACCCUAAAUCUAGACAAGAUU
This 1678-nucleotide ribosomal RNA is filed under the name Hemibagrus guttatus. RNAcentral describes it as "16S ribosomal RNA". It matches the Rfam family "Bacterial large subunit ribosomal RNA". Lineage: Eukaryota; Metazoa; Chordata; Actinopteri; Siluriformes; Bagridae. The record is from RNAcentral.